CAAAUAACUCUGGCUCAUAAACCGAAAGGUCUCUCUCUCUCUCUCUCCUCCCCUCGCAACCAAAAAAAAGAAGAAAAAGAGAAAUGGGGAUAACAGAGACCGCCGGCGAAUCCUCGGCGAGAAAGACGCGACGAAGAGCACCAUCGUCGAUCGAAUCUCUAGACGCAGACAUACUAUGCAUCAUCUUCUCCUUUCUCGAUUUAUUCGAUCUCGUUCACUGUACCGUCGUCUGUAACUCCUGGCUUGCUGUCAUCAAGAAGCUGAAGCUGCUGCAGUCUUCAUGCCGGAGGAUGCACCAGCUCGGCUCCACGUCGCUGGAGCAGCCACGCGAGAUAGACGUGGAGGAUUUCGCGAUGAAGCAUCACAAGAUGGCUUUACUAAGAGGUCGAAUCGAGAUUGAGCGGUGGGAAGCUCACUCACACCGAUUCUCUCAGUGUCGAAUGAAGAAGGGAUUGCUUCUUACUGGUGUAGGUGAUAAGGUUAUGCGUCUCUGGUCGUUGGAUAGUUAUAAAUGCAUGGAGGAAUACUCCCUUCCUGAUGCUGCUUCCUUGGUUGACUUUGAUUUUGACGAGAGUAAGAUUGUUGGAUUGGUUGGUACCCGGAUUAGCAUAUGGAGGAGAAGUGGACAAAGAAGCAUCUUUCCGUCUCGUGAAGGCACCAUUCCUAAGGGACUUUGUAUGCGUUACAUUGACCCAGAAGCUGUAGUUGGAUGCGAGGAUGGAACAGCUCGUAUAUUUGAUAUGUAUAGUAAGACAUGUUCACAGAUCAUUAGGACUCACGGUGGGCCAAUAACGUGCUUAUCUUUGAGCGACAGUCAACUGUUUCUUAGCGGGUCUUCACUCGGGAGAGUAACAGUAUCAGACCCUUUACUAGAUCAACCAGUGGCUACGCUUAAAUCCACAAUUACUGCAGGAGGUAUACAGACCAUCUGUUUUAACCAAGGCUCCAAUCUCGCCUUCUCUGGAACAACCGCUGGAUACGUUUCAUGCUGGGACCUCAGGAAAAUGAGACAGGUGUGGGAAAAUCGAGUGAGUCCUAAUGUGGUGUACUCAAUACAACAGUUGAAGAACGAUACAUCGGUUAUGGUAGCUGGUGGAAUAGACGGUGUGCUGCGAUUUGUUGAUCAGAAGAGUGGCAGAGUUCUGUCAAGCUGUAUAAUGGACGACAAAGUUUCAACAGUUCUGAGAAGGCAGAGCCAAGUCGUGGUUGAGAAGAGGAGAGGUAAAAGAGUAUCGCAAGACGUCGAGAUCGAUAAAUUCGAAAGGAAAACUCGGCCUCAGAUCAGCUGCAUAGCAAUGGGAAUGAAGAAGACUUCUUGGAUGUGUCAGCUUGAGGCUCAGCUUUGAGGAUAUUAAGUUGUCCACCUUCUUUGCAAGCAGCGUUGGCUGCUUUCACUUCAUUGCAAUGGUUAAUGAACUUGGAACAUAGGAACAUACCCGGUCGGUGUCUAACUCUUUCGUUGUCUUGGACGGUUUCAUAUAUCUCCUCCCUGUAAGAAGGUAAGAACAAGAAGAAGAAGAUAAGAAACAGAGAUCGUGAGGGAUUUGCCAAAA
This is an RNA transcript of Brassica oleracea var. oleracea, 1553 nucleotides long. It is a transcript of the gene named F-box/WD-40 repeat-containing protein At3g52030, with no coding region annotated. The record is from RefSeq and is a predicted model, not a curated record. The transcript is spliced from 11 exons. Lineage: Eukaryota; Viridiplantae; Streptophyta; Magnoliopsida; Brassicales; Brassicaceae.